GACUCUGCACUGAGUGCAAGCCCAACUGGGAGCUCAAUCUCACAACCCUGAGAUCAUGACCUAAGCUGAAAUCCCGAGUCAGAUGCCUAACCAACCACCACCACCCAGGAGCUCUUAUAAUCAAUUCUUAAUCAUCUUGUUGGAAGGCAAGGAAUGCCUGUCAUUCCAGAGCACACACUGUGAAGAGCUGAAGUCAGGAAGGGGAGGAGACUGCCAACUACAUUCUAGCUGCUGAGCGGCACAGCCCUAAGAAGCCACACCUACCUUUCCUGACACCAAGCUUGUUUUAUAACUCUCCAGACUCACAUCCAUAGAAGAAUGGGAGCCUGCUCAAGAAUCUACCAAUGAACUUGUAAAUGUAAUCAUACAAAAACCAUCAGGGUUAUGCACAGCAGACUGACGGGCGCAGAAUUCAGCUCAAAGGCACACAGUGAGAGAGAGGCAGAGACACAGGCAGAGAGAGAAGCAGGCUCCACGCACCGGGAGCCUGACGUGGGAUUCGAUCCCGGAUAUCCAGGACCGCGCCCUGGGCCAAAGGCAGGCACCAAACCGCUGCGCCACCCAGGGAUCCCCUGUCAUCAAAUUUUUAAGUGCCAAAGUCCUUCAAUAAAUGACAGCUGCUAAAAAAAAACCAGAGCUUUUAGUUUAAAUCUUUGUCUUCCAAACUGAGAUCACAGUAAUUUCCGGGCUUUCCUUUUGCCUUUUCUUAGCACCUUCUUUUCCCCAUUAUC
Canis lupus familiaris (dog) is the source of this 731-nucleotide long non-coding RNA. RefSeq lists it as uncharacterized. The transcript has 3 exons. NCBI's taxonomy places the organism in Eukaryota, Metazoa, Chordata, Mammalia, Carnivora, Canidae. The record is from RefSeq and is a predicted model, not a curated record.